UAAAACAGGUGCAAUUCUAC
RNAcentral lists this non-coding RNA (20 nucleotides) under Arabidopsis thaliana (thale cress). Lineage: Eukaryota; Viridiplantae; Streptophyta; Magnoliopsida; Brassicales; Brassicaceae. The record is from RNAcentral.